UGAGGAAUAUUGCGCAAUGGAGGCAACUCUGACGCAGCCACGCCGCGUGAAGGAAGACACCCCUAUGGGGCGUAAACUUCUUUUCUACAGGAAGAAAGGGUCGAAUAGACAGAUGACGGUACUGUAGGAAUAAGGACCGGCUAACUCCGUGCCAGCAGCCGCGGUAAUACGGAGGGUCCAAGCGUUGUCCGGAAUCAUUGGGUGUAAAGGGUGUGUAGGCGGGAUGAUAAGUCAGAGGUGAAAGGCUUCAGCUUAACUGAGGAAUUGCCUUUGAUACUGUUAUCCUUGAGUACUGGAGAGGCCGUUAGAAUUCGUGGUGUAGCGGUGAAAUGCGUAGAUAUCACGAGGAACACCAGAAGCGUAGGCGAACGGCUGGACGGUAACUGACGCUGAGGCACGAAAGCGUGGGGAGCAAACAGG
This 420-nucleotide ribosomal RNA is filed under the name uncultured prokaryote. Its description in RNAcentral is "bacterial SSU rRNA". It matches the Rfam family "Bacterial small subunit ribosomal RNA", at positions 355 to 776 of the family's 1533-position model. The record is from RNAcentral. RNAcentral also lists the same sequence under 1 other name.